This 408-nucleotide ribosomal RNA is filed under the name uncultured bacterium. RNAcentral describes it as "partial 16S ribosomal RNA". It matches the Rfam family "Bacterial small subunit ribosomal RNA", at positions 29 to 526 of the family's 1533-position model. The record is from RNAcentral.
AGUGAACGCUGGCGGCGUGCCUAAUACAUGCAAGUCGAACGGAGUGGCGCACGGGUGAGUAAUAUAUAGCUAAUCUGCCCCUUGCUGGAGGACAACAGUUAGAAAUGACUGCUAAUACUCCAUAGAAAGGGAUGAGACUAUAUCGUAUCAGCUAGUCGGUGGGGUAACGGCCUACCGAGGCUAUGACGCGUCACUGGUCUGAGAGGAUGACCAUUCACAUUGGAACGUAGACACGGUCCAAACUCCUACGGGAGUCAGCAGUAGGGAAUAUUGCGCAAUGGGGGAAGCCCUGAGGAAGCAUCGCCGCGGGGAGGAUGUCACUUUUCGGAGCGUAGACGCCUUUUGUUAGGGAAGCGGUACCUAACGAAGAAGCACCGGCUAACUCCGUGCCAGCAGCCGCGGUAAUAC